GAAAAAUAAGGAAUGUCUCACUUAAAACAUAAUAUUAUGAGUGAUGUUAUUUUGUAUGAAACAAAACAUGCAGGAUACACACGAAUAGGCACGUGGACGGCACACUUUUUAAAAAUAAUAUUAAAUGUAAUUUGACGGGAAAACAUCAUUAGUGUGGGAGUGACGAAAAUCAUUUUCGUACUAAACAGUAUUUCCCUAAUAUUAUUGUCCUUUAGGUCUAACGCAAGCAUAUAAUAGUAGACUGAAGUUACAGAACUGCAUGCGCAGUUCUCUCUCUCUAUAUAUAUAUAUGGAUACCCACUUCAAUUCACUUCAACGACGCAUGCCCUGUUCGACUGAUGGAGCUGUUGUAGUCAUGGCUACUCCCGGACUUCGUUGCUCACCAUUUCCAUACCAAGUUCAAAGGAAAGUAAAUUAAAUAAGAAAGGUAUUUCUCUGUAAAAUAAGAAAUUUGUUUUCAUUUAUUCUUUUUGCGAGAUACUUUGCAUUUCGGGGUAUUUAAAACAUUAAUAAGCAUGAGUGUACGUUAUCAUAAAUUUUAUGAAGCGAGUCUUACAAUCGGAAAAGCAGCAGCAACAGAGGCUGUUGGACUGAUUGGCUACGACAGGUGGUGGUGUUGGGUAAUCAUUUCCAACCAAGUAUAUAUUGUAAUACCGCAUUUAUAGAGGUACUAUAGUAAUUAACAAGUGGUAUCAUCUGCCUUACAUAAAUUUCACAAUAUGUUAUAGAUAUUAUAAUAGUGAUUAAUCAUUCUCAUUUAGAGUUUGAUAUUAACUGAAAAUACAAGUUUAAAAUUAUUAAAGGUAAAAUUUUUUUUAUUUGUGAAUAACACAGGUUUGAAAUUACUAAAGGUGAAAUUUUUUUUUAUUUGUGAAUAACACACUAGAUGAAGAUAUGUUAAAUAUUAAAUAAACAAAAAAUAACCCAAAAUGACUUAUAUUUUGGUAUAAUUUUUUUAAUUUAUUGACUCAGUCAUAAAUUCGAAAAUUUAUUUAAAAUUUAUAAAGUUUAUCCAAAAUCUACUAAAAAAAAUUUAAGUUUAGUGGAAAGUUUGAUAGACAUAAGUGACUCAUUCUUCAAACAUUAUUGUCCUUGAGGUCUAAUAGAAGCAUCGUAGAAACACGUAUUGCUUAGUUACAGAACUGCAUUUAUUACAUUACUCUAUACUUAGGGAUCCUCACUUCAACGGUUCAUGCCCUGUUCGACUGGUGGAGCUGUUGCAACAGUCAUGGCUACUCCCCGACUUCUCUGCUCAACAUUUCC
RNAcentral lists this long non-coding RNA (1263 nucleotides) under Glycine max (soybean). RNAcentral describes it as "long non-coding RNA (GMAX_LNC001133)". Lineage: Eukaryota; Viridiplantae; Streptophyta; Magnoliopsida; Fabales; Fabaceae. The record is from RNAcentral.